RNAcentral lists this long non-coding RNA (1602 nucleotides) under Nicotiana benthamiana. Its description in RNAcentral is "long non-coding RNA (NBEN_LNC006832)". The record is from RNAcentral. Lineage: Eukaryota; Viridiplantae; Streptophyta; Magnoliopsida; Solanales; Solanaceae.
GUUGUAAGAAGUCAUCGUCGUUGAUACAGUGUGUAGAGAGAGAAAGAGAAACAAGAAAAGAUGACCAAACAAAUAUAGAAAAAAAAAGGAGAAAAAGAAGAAAACGUAGAGAAAUAGAGGAGCCUCUUCAGCUUUAACUUGGGCUUUGUUCUAUCCGUCUAAAAUGGUGGAUUCACACUUAGGUACUGUUCAAGACUCUUUUUUUUUCACACCCCAUUCAUCUUCUUGAUUUUUAGAUGCACACCCAUUUCUUUGUUUCUGAUUAUUUUCCUUUUUUUUUGUGUUGUGUGUUUUUUGUUUAAAGAUUGGUCCUUUUUUUGGUUCUUGUUUUGUGAUUUUAUGCCAUUGAUGAGCUUGUAUUGAGAUUUUCUUAGCUUUGAAAUUCAGGUGUAACAGAAUUGUAAAGCUAGGAUUUUGGUAAAGUUGAAGGGUUUAUGUAGUAGUUGACUAUAAGAGUUGAAAAUUGGAGCAAUAAUCAAAUGGGUGGUGACAAUGAGGAAGGAAAUAGUGAUAUGGUGCAAAGACUUCAAUCAUCAUUUGGUACAUCAUCUUCUUCAUUACCUAAGCAACAUCAAUCUUUAUUAUCAAUGGACCAAUUGGAUAUACCUCAAUUGACUAAUAGUUCCCAAUUUCGUGGACAAAUGAGGCAAUUUUCACCCAACUUUAGUGUUGAAAAUAGUACUAGUAAGAGAGUAGGCAUACCGCCUUCUCACCCACAAAUGCCCCCUAUUUCACCUUACUCUCAGAUCCCUGUAACAAGGAUUGUGAAUCAGCAAAUGGGAAUGCAGAGUUUUACUAGUCCAGGGCCAUCGCAUUCGCGAUCUUUAUCACAACCAUCGUUUUUCUCAUUGGAUUCUUUGCCACCCUUGAGCCCUUCACCGUAUAGGGAAUCCUCGUCAACGUCCAUGUCUGACCCUAUAUCAGCCGAUGUGUCAAUGGGCGAUCAGGAUGGCAAUUCACAUUCUUUAUUGCCCCCCUCGCCUUUCAUGAGGUGUAAUUCGUCGAGGGCGGGAGAGAGUCUUCCUCCUCGUAAGGCUCAUAGGCGGUCAAAUAGUGAUAUCCCGUUUGGGUUUUCUGCAAUGAUGCAGUCCUCACCACCUCUUGUUCCGUUAAGGAGCCCUGGUUCUCUUGAAAGGUCAGUUCCUUCAAGGGAAAAACCAAUUCAGUUGGUUAAACGGGAAGCUAUGUGGGAUAAAGGAAAUGAUAGCAAUGCUGAAGGGAUGGGUGAGAGGAAAUCUGAAGGAGAAGUUGUGGAUGACCUGUUUUCUGCUUAUAUGAACUUGGACAACAUUGAUGCAUUAAACUCUUCGGGGACUGAUGACAAGCUGGGCAAUGAGAACCGUGAAGAUUUAGAUAGUAGAGCAAGUGGUACAACGACCUGUUUUCCGCGUAUAUGAACUUGGACAACAUUGAUGCAUUAAACUCUUCCGGGACUGAUAACAAGCUGGGCAAUGAGAAUCGUGAAGAUUUAGAUAGUAGAGCGAGUGGUACAAAGACAAAUGGUGGUGAUAGCAGUGAUAAUGAAGCUACAAGUAGUGUGAAUGACAGUGGCAGCAGUAUGCAGAGGUUAGGGAUAUCUUCUUCUGUUGAGAAGAAGGAAGG